Molecule: ribosomal RNA, 429 nt
Filed under: Gemmatimonadota bacterium
Lineage: Bacteria; Pseudomonadati; Gemmatimonadota
Description: Gemmatimonadetes bacterium partial 16S ribosomal RNA
Rfam family: Bacterial small subunit ribosomal RNA
Source: RNAcentral
UAGGGAAUCUUCGGCAAUGGACGAAAGUCUGACCGAGCAACGCCGCGUGAGUGAAGAAGGUUUUCGGAUCGUAAAACUCUGUUGUUAGAGAAGAACAAGGACGUUAGUAACUGAACGUCCCCUGACGGUAUCUAACCAGAAAGCCACGGCUAACUACGUGCCAGCAGCCGCGGUAAUACGUAGGUGGCAAGCGUUGUCCGGAUUUAUUGGGCGUAAAGCGAGCGCAGGCGGUUUCUUAAGUCUGAUGUGAAAGCCCCCGGCUCAACCGGGGAGGGUUAUUGGAAACUGGGAGAAUUGGGUGCAGAAGAGGAGAGUGGAAAUCCAUGUGUAGCGGUGAAAUGCGUAGGUAUAUGGGGGAACACCAGUGGCGAAGGCGGCUCUCUUGUCUGUAACUGACGCUGGGGCUCGAAAGCGUGGGGAGCAAACAGG